UCGAAAUGAGCUCAUUCCCGCACCCGCCGACGCUUUUGUCCCUCUCUUCUUCUCCUCCAAUGCCCAGGAUGAUCCAUGAUGCUUUUCCGCUCCGAUCUCCGGUGGAUCUCCGGCGACAAAGGCGGCGUCGUCGCUCCGGUCCUCCAUCCCCUUCUCUUGGAGAGUUUAUGGAUUUCAGGAUUGAGAACAAGAUCGAGCUUCUUGUUGAAGUGG
Molecule: long non-coding RNA, 213 nt
Organism: Dioscorea cayenensis subsp. rotundata (Guinea yam)
Lineage: Eukaryota; Viridiplantae; Streptophyta; Magnoliopsida; Dioscoreales; Dioscoreaceae
Exons: 2
Source: RefSeq, a predicted model, not a curated record